AAAAUAAUCCUACCCUUUGUGAAUUUUGUUUGUUUGAAUAAUUUUUUUUUUUAAAAAAUUAUUGGAGUCUUUCCCUUUAGAGUUUGCUUUUGAGUUUGUAAAAGAAUUCGAAAACAUCUAAAGGGGAUGGUCAAUAAUUUUUUUUGAAAAAAGACAUUUUUUAAAAUUAAACUUUUUGUAUUCAUUUGUCUAAAAAUUAUUUUUAUAAUAUAAAAACAACUUUUGACAAUGGAUCUCUUGGUUCUCGCAACGAUGAAGAACGCAGCAAAAUGCGAUAAGUAGUGUGAAUUGCAGAGUACGUGGAAUCAUCGAAUCUUUGAACGCAUAUUGCAUUUUUUUAGUUUACUAAAAAAGUAUGUCUGUUUGAGUAUCAGUAAAAUAUUCUCAUAAAAAUCAUUGUGUAUUUUUAUGGUUAUGAGUGUUUUACAACGAUACAAGUUGUUUUCACUUUAAAUUUUUUUUUUAAUAUUGAAAUUUUUCUAAUUUUAAUAAUUAAAAAUUGGAUAAAAUUUUCCCGUCAAAAGGAAUAACCUAAACAAUUUUAAACGAUUAAUUUUAGCAAAAUUUUCGUAAAAAAGGAAAAUUUUUAUUAAAAUAACUUGAUCUCAAAUCAGAUAAGAGUACCCGCUGAACUUAAGCAUAUCAAUAAGCGGAGGAAAAGAAACUAACAAGGGAUUCCCUUAGUAACGGCGAGUGAAGCGGGAAGAGCUCAAAUUUGAAAGUCUUCAAGGUUUUACCUUGACGAAUUGUAGUUUAAAGAAGUGUUUUCUGCUGAAGUUUUGGUAAAAGUUCUUUGGAAUAGGACAUCAUAGAGGGUGAGAAUCCCGUAUUUGACCAUUAUUUUCAGCUUUGUGAUACACUUUCAAAGAGUCGGAUUGUUUGGAAUGCAGUCCAAAAUGGGUGGUAAAUUUCAUCUAAAGCUAAAUAUUGGCGAGAGACCGAUGGCGAACAAGUACCGUGAGGGAAAGAUGAAAAGAACUUUGAAAAGAGAGUUAAACAGUACGUGAAAUUGUCAAAAGGGAAGCGUUUGACACCAGUGUUGUUUUCUCGAAAAUCAAUUAAAAAUGGCUCGAUUUUGUAUUGCUGAGACCUUAAAAGCUCACUGUACAUUUUUCGUGUCUUUUUUAAUGCGCUUUUCGUUUAACAAGUCAACAUCAGUUUCUUUUGUUGUAAAAGGGUCAUUGGAAGGUGGCUUUCUUUUCGGAGAAAGUGUUUAUAGCCUUUGGCCUCUGCAAUCGGAGAGACUGAGGUCUGCAGCGUAGACUCUUCGGGGUUAGAUACAUUUGUGCUAAGUUAUAGCUUUUUAUAGACAACUUGUUGACUAUAAUUAGUCUUGUAGCUUACUCGCUCAUGCUAUUUUACCUACGCUUAGGAUG
RNAcentral lists this unclassified non-coding RNA (1376 nucleotides) under uncultured Neocallimastigales. Its description in RNAcentral is "partial contains internal transcribed spacer 1, 5.8S ribosomal RNA, internal transcribed spacer 2, and large subunit ribosomal RNA". The stretch from base 601 to 1376 matches the Rfam family "Eukaryotic large subunit ribosomal RNA", at positions 1 to 626 of the family's 3401-position model. The record is from RNAcentral. Lineage: Eukaryota; Fungi; Neocallimastigomycota; Neocallimastigomycetes; Neocallimastigales.